CCUCGGGUCGCACCAGUGGGGAAUAUUGCACAAUGGGCGCAAGCCUGAUGCAGCCAUGCCGCGUGUAUGAGGAAGGCCUUCGGGUUGUAAAGUACUUUCAGCGGGGAGGAAGGCGGUGAGGUUAAUAACCUCACCGAUUGACGUUACCCGCAGAAGAAGCACCGGCUAACCCCGUGCCAGCAGCCGCGGUAAUACGGAGGGUGCAAGCGUUAAUCGGAAUUACUGGGCGUAAAGCGCACGCAGGCGGUCUGUCAAGUCGGAUGUGAAAUCCCCGGGGUCAACCUGGGAACUGCAUUCGAAACUGGCAGGCUAGAGUCUUGUAGAGGGGGGUAGAAUUCCAGGUGUAGCGGUGAAAUGCGUAGAGAUCUGGAGGAAUACCGGUGGCGAAGGCGGCCCCCUGGACAAAGACUGACGCUCAGGUGCGAAAGCGUGGGGAGCAAACAGGAUUAGAUACCCGCGUAGUC
Molecule: ribosomal RNA, 464 nt
Filed under: uncultured bacterium
Lineage: Bacteria
Description: bacterial SSU rRNA
Rfam family: Bacterial small subunit ribosomal RNA
Source: RNAcentral